Molecule: transfer RNA, 71 nt
Filed under: Candidatus Azambacteria bacterium
Lineage: Bacteria; Candidatus Azamiibacteriota
Description: tRNA-Ala
Rfam family: tRNA
About the family: Transfer RNA (tRNA) molecules are approximately 80 nucleotides in length. Their secondary structure includes four short double-helical elements and three loops (D, anti-codon, and T loops).
Source: RNAcentral
GGGCCCGUAGCUCAGUGGCAAAGCAACCGGUUUGCAUCCGGUAGACGGGAGUUCGAUUCUCCCCGGGUCCA